GUACCCGUAGCUCAGCUGGAUAGAGCGUUAGCCUCCGGAGCUAAAGGUCGUUGGUUCGAAUCCAAUCGGGUACA
This 74-nucleotide transfer RNA is filed under the name Deinococcus proteolyticus MRP. It matches the Rfam family "tRNA". Rfam says of the family: Transfer RNA (tRNA) molecules are approximately 80 nucleotides in length. Their secondary structure includes four short double-helical elements and three loops (D, anti-codon, and T loops). The record is from Rfam by way of RNAcentral. Lineage: Bacteria; Thermotogati; Deinococcota; Deinococci; Deinococcales; Deinococcaceae.